AUGCAAACAUUCCCAGCCCCGUGCUUUUGUGCAGGCAUCUCGCUGUAUGCGCUGGGCACGGAGCGGCGCGCGCGCGCUCGCCUUUCCCUCGGCGGCCCCCCGCGGCUCGGACCCGGGACUGCAGACAGGCCAUCCAUCAUUCGCCCUCCUCCCGCGAGCUUGGCUGCCGCGGCCAAUCCGGCGGCAGGUGGGGCCGCACCUGCAGGACAGCCCGCCACUUCCCUCCGCUCUCUCCGCCGCGCCCGGCGUGUUAGCGAUGCCCUUGUGAGCCACUGCAUUCUCCAAGGCCAGAACGAGACAGAUAAGACUCUGGGAAUUUAUAGAAACAAACAUCAGAAGACUGAAAUGUGGAGAGAAGAAGGCUGCCUGACUAGGGAAUCUCAGGAAACAAGGAAAACAUCAAGAAUAUAG
Molecule: long non-coding RNA, 411 nt
Filed under: Callithrix jacchus (white-tufted-ear marmoset)
Lineage: Eukaryota; Metazoa; Chordata; Mammalia; Primates; Cebidae
Description: lncRNA (ENSCJAG00000067707.2)
Source: RNAcentral